GACGAACGCUGGCGGCGUGCUUAACACAUGCAAGUCGAACGGAAAGGCCCUGCUUUUGUGGGGUGCUCGAGUGGCGAACGUGUGAGUAACACGUGAGUAACCUGCCCUUGACUUUGGGAUAUCUUCAGGAAACUGGUGCUAAUACCUGCUAGGAGCUCCUGCUGCAUGGUGGGGUUUGGAAAGUUUCGGCGGUUGGGGAUGGACUCGCGGCUUAUCAGCUUGUUGGUGGGGUAGUGGCUUACCAAGGCUUUGACGGGUAGCCGGCCUGAGAGGGUGACCGGCCACAUUGGGACUGAGAUACGGACCAGACUCCUACGGGAGGCAGCAGUGGGGAAUAUUGCACAAUGGGCGGAAGCCUGAUGCAGCAACGCCGCGUGCGGGAUGACGGCCUUCGGGUUGUAAACCGCUUUCGCCUGUGACGAAGCGUGAGUGACGGUAAUGGGUAAAGAAGCACCGGCUAACUACGUG
RNAcentral lists this ribosomal RNA (468 nucleotides) under uncultured bacterium. RNAcentral describes it as "partial 16S ribosomal RNA". It matches the Rfam family "Bacterial small subunit ribosomal RNA", at positions 28 to 507 of the family's 1533-position model. The record is from RNAcentral.